UGGGGAAUUUUGGACAAUGGGGGAAACCCUGAUCCAGCCAUGCCGCGUGAGUGAAGAAGGCCUUCGGGUUGUAAAGCUCUUUCAGCCGGAACGAAACGGUCACGGCUAAUACCUGUGACUACUGACGGUACCGGAAGAAGAAGCACCGGCUAACUACGUG
RNAcentral lists this ribosomal RNA (160 nucleotides) under uncultured ammonia-oxidizing bacterium. RNAcentral describes it as "partial 16S ribosomal RNA". It matches the Rfam family "Bacterial small subunit ribosomal RNA", at positions 355 to 507 of the family's 1533-position model. The record is from RNAcentral.